Molecule: ribosomal RNA, 700 nt
Filed under: Mannheimia haemolytica
Lineage: Bacteria; Pseudomonadati; Pseudomonadota; Gammaproteobacteria; Pasteurellales; Pasteurellaceae
Description: bacterial SSU rRNA
Rfam family: Bacterial small subunit ribosomal RNA
Source: RNAcentral
ACUGAAGAAGCACCAGCUAACUCCGUGCCAGCAGCCGCGGUAAUACGGGGGGUGCGAGCGUUAAUCGGAUUAACUGGGCGUAAAGGGCACGCAGGCGGUUGUUUAAGUGAGGUGUGAAAGCCCCGGGCUUAACCUGGGAAUUGCAUAUCAGACUGGACAACUAGAGUACUUUAGGGAGGGCUAGAAUUCCACGUGUAGCGGUGAAAUGCGUAGAGAUGUGGAGGAAUACCGAAGGCGAAGGCAGCCCCUUGGGAAUGUACUGACGCUCAUGUGCGAAAGCGUGGGGAGCAAACAGGAUUAGAUACCCUGGUAGUCCACGCUGUAAACGCUGUCGAUUUGGGGAUUGGGGUUUAACUCUGGUGCCCGUAGCUAACGUGAUAAAUCGACCGCCUGGGGAGUACGGCCGCAAGGUUAAAACUCUAAUGAAUUGACGGGGGCCCGCACAAGCGGUGGAGCAUGUGGUUUAAUUCGAUGCAACGCGAAGAACCUUACCUACUCUUGACAUCCAUGGAAUCUUGUAGAGAUAUGAGAGUGCCUUCGGGAACCAUGAGACAGGUGCUGCAUGGCUGUCGUCAGCUCGUGUUGUGAAAUGUUGGGUUAAGUCCCGCAACGAGCGCAACCCUUAUCCUUUGUUGCCAGCGAUUAGGUCGGGAACUCAAAGGAGACUGCCGGUGAUAAACCGGAGGAAGGUGGGGAUGAG